RNAcentral lists this long non-coding RNA (486 nucleotides) under Gallus gallus (chicken). RNAcentral describes it as "long non-coding RNA NONGGAT003111". The record is from RNAcentral. Lineage: Eukaryota; Metazoa; Chordata; Aves; Galliformes; Phasianidae.
GAGUGGGAAUUGCAGAGGGCUCCGUAUCCUUUAAGGAACAGCAUCCUGCUGAUCCAGAGGAAGGGUCCCGUUCAAAGCGCCCCAAGACCGUGAUGCUCACUGCAUGGAGGUUUCGGGGAGGCACAGCAUGGGUGCACGGUUGAUGCUGAGCCUGCCUGGUGUGCUUCUCCCCGCUGUGCCCAGGGUACCGGCAUCGCUGCGGUGAAAUCCAGCUUCUGUCACUAUGGCAACGAUGAGGGAUGGCAGGGAACAGCCAUGGGGCUGCCCCCUCCCCCCCCCCCCCCCGCCGUGUCCUUAUGUGUCCCCGGAGCUCAGGCAGAACAGCUUCCAGGCUGGGGAUACCGCUCAUCCACCCUGCUGUGGGUUGUGCUGGGAGCUGGGAGGGAUCCAGCACCCUGUGCUGCACCCACAGGGAUGGAUCCUGAGUGUUUGGAGGCACGGAGGAGGGACCCACAGGCUUAACCAGCUCCCCCAGCACAGCCCCAG